UCUCAUGGUACUGGCAUCUGCA
This 22-nucleotide non-coding RNA is filed under the name Mus musculus (house mouse). The record is from RNAcentral. Lineage: Eukaryota; Metazoa; Chordata; Mammalia; Rodentia; Muridae.